Hyaena hyaena (striped hyena) is the source of this 957-nucleotide long non-coding RNA. RefSeq lists it as uncharacterized. The transcript has 4 exons. The record is from RefSeq and is a predicted model, not a curated record. Lineage: Eukaryota; Metazoa; Chordata; Mammalia; Carnivora; Hyaenidae.
GACUGAUUUAUCGACCAGGGAAUUACUGCCAGCAAACAGGCACGCCGGCUAUCCCUUCUUACACAGAUUUUUGGCAUGUUUGUUUGUUUUGUUUUUAUUCCGUCAGAGAGCUUUUUGUUUCUUUUCAUCUAUCAGACUUCUGGAACUCCAGCCUAGCCUAGCCGGCUAUUCCAAGUCGUCUGCUCAGACUCUAUUAAAGAGAAAAACCAGAACUGUACUGGAAAAUAACGUAUCUGAGGUAGAACUAACCAGGAGGAGAUUAUCACAAAGUGAAACUGUUCUUUGGAUCUGCUAGGUGAGAGUGAAAGUAAAGGUCACUUUUUGAAUCCUCUUGCUGAUUGGUGAACAUUACCAGUCUCUCUUCGCGUUUCUCAUUUUUGUUUAUGCGUUGUCCACAUGGGAUCUGAAAGACAAAAAUAUGAAGGACGUGUGGCUUGGAUGUGUCUCAAGGGAAGAUAAGCAUGUCAGUGACUGGAGGAGAAAACCACCUGAAGCAGAACCAAGCUUUUGCUGAAGAAUUCUGCCAAAAAGAGGAUAUAUCAAGAAUUACCACCCAAAGAGCAUUAACUUAGAAGUCUGGCAUUCUGGACCAAAUUCUAUAAGAUCAACAUUGAAUAAUUGACACAUUCCCCAUCUGUGGAAAAACUGAGUUUGGGUAUUGGAAGCCCUCUACAUCUUAUUUCAAGGAACAUUUUUCUUACAGAAGUUUCUUGUUUUCAAUUGGAAAUCUAAAAUGGAGAAAUAACUUUUGCUCUUAAGCUGUGAUUUCCACCUCUUGUGACUCUUCUUUACAGCCAAUUGUAUUCAUGUGAUCUUCAGAUCUCAACUCCACAUCUACGGCAUUGCGGAGUUUGUACGUUUGGGAAUAGACAGGAACUUUAAAACUGCAAAAAACAGUUACUAAAAUGAUUCACUUUAUGGUUACUUUAAGGAAAAGUCACAUACUAUGCUGAACUU